CCUACGGGAGGCAGCAGUGAGGAAUAUUGGUCAAUGGGCGAGAGCCUGAACCAGCCAAGCCGCGUGAAGGAUGACGGUCCAGCGGGUCGUAAACCUCUUUUGUCAGGGAACAAAUACUUGCACGCGUCCGCUUAUCGGUAGUCCUCGAAGAAAAGCCUCGGCUAACCCCGUGCCCGCAACCGCGGUAAUACGGAGGAUGCGAGCGUUAUCCGGAUUUAUUGGGUUUAAAGGGGUCGUAGGCGGAAUUUUAAGUCAGCGGUAAAAGCUCGGGGCUCAACCCCGGCGAGCCGUUGAAACUGAUGAUCUUGAGUGGGCGAGAAGUAUGCGGAAUGCGUGGUGUAGCGGUGAAAUGCAUAGAUAUCACGCAGAACUCCGAUUGCGAAGGCAGCAUACCGGCGCCCGACUGACGCUGAAGCACGAAAGCGUGGGUAUCGAACAGGAUUAGAUACCCUUGUAGUC
Molecule: ribosomal RNA, 459 nt
Filed under: uncultured bacterium
Lineage: Bacteria
Description: partial 16S ribosomal RNA
Rfam family: Bacterial small subunit ribosomal RNA
Source: RNAcentral